UAAGGAAUAUUGGACAAUGGACGCAAGUCUGAUCCAGCCAUGCCGCGUGAAGGAUGAAUGCCCUCUGGGUUGUAAACUUUUUUUAUAGGGGAAGAAAGAUACUUUUUUUAAGGUAGUUGACGGUACCCUAUGAAUAAGCACCGGCUAACUCCGUGCCAGCAGCCGCGGUAAUACGGAGGGUGCAAGCGUUAUCCGGAUUUACUGGGUUUAAAGGGUGCGUAGGCGGGCAUGUAAGUCAGUGGUGAAAUACCGGAGCUUAACUUCGGAACUGCCAUUGAUACUAUAUGUCUUGAAUAUUGUGGAGGUAAGCGGAAUAUGUCAUGUAGCGGUGAAAUGCAUAGAUAUAACAUAGAACACCGAUUGCGGAGGCAGCUUGCUACGCAAAUAUUGACGCUGAGGCACGAAAGCGUGGGGAUCAAACA
RNAcentral lists this ribosomal RNA (422 nucleotides) under uncultured bacterium. RNAcentral describes it as "bacterial SSU rRNA". It matches the Rfam family "Bacterial small subunit ribosomal RNA", at positions 355 to 774 of the family's 1533-position model. The record is from RNAcentral.